This 269-nucleotide ribosomal RNA is filed under the name uncultured prokaryote. RNAcentral's name for it is "partial 16S ribosomal RNA". It matches the Rfam family "Bacterial small subunit ribosomal RNA", at positions 524 to 792 of the family's 1533-position model. The record is from RNAcentral.
UACGUAGGUGGCGAGCGUUGUCCGGAUUUACUGGGCGUAAAGGGAGCGUAGGCGGACUUUUAAGUGAGAUGUGAAAUACCCGGGCUCAACUUGGGUGCUGCAUUUCAAACUGGAAGUCUAGAGUGCAGGAGAGGAGAAUGGAAUUCCUAGUGUAGCGGUGAAAUGCGUAGAGAUUAGGAAGAACACCAGUGGCGAAGGCGAUUCUCUGGACUGUAACUGACGCUGAGGCUCGAAAGCGUGGGGAGCAAACAGGAUUAGGUACCCUGGUA